This 389-nucleotide ribosomal RNA is filed under the name uncultured Nitrospina sp. Its description in RNAcentral is "bacterial SSU rRNA". It matches the Rfam family "Bacterial small subunit ribosomal RNA", at positions 29 to 410 of the family's 1533-position model. The record is from RNAcentral. Lineage: Bacteria; Pseudomonadati; Nitrospinota; Nitrospinia; Nitrospinales; Nitrospinaceae.
AACGUACGCUGGUGGCGUGCUUAACACAUGCAAGUCGAACGAGAAAGUUUCCUUCGGGGAAUUAGUAAAGUGGCGCAAGGGUGAGUAUCACGUGAAUAAUCUGCCCUCGAGAUCGGGAUAACAUGGUGAAAACUAUGCUAAUACCGGAUAAGACCACAUUUCAUAAGAAAUGCGGUAAAAGGAGUCUCAAUCUUCACUCGAGGAUGAGUUCGCGCAACAUUAGCUUGUUGGUGAGAUAAAAGCUCACCAAGGCUACGAUGUUUAGCCGGCCUGAGAGGGUGAACGGCCACACUGGAACUGAGACACGGCCCAGACUCCUACGGGAGGCAGCAGUGGGGAAUAUUGGACAAUGGGCGCAAGCCUGAUCCAGCCAUGCCGCGUGAGUGAAG